This 2287-nucleotide long non-coding RNA is filed under the name Homo sapiens (human). Its description in RNAcentral is "PCBP1 antisense RNA 1". Lineage: Eukaryota; Metazoa; Chordata; Mammalia; Primates; Hominidae. The record is from RNAcentral.
GAACACAAAAUGGCGACACGUGGUUAGCAUUCGUCGCCAACGAGAAAUUGGGAGGAAGACAAACAUAAAGAUGAAGUGCUUAAUUCAAGGUCACACAAUGUCGGGGAUGGACCUCCAGAUUUCCUUACUGGUGAGACGUGGUCUUGUAACACAGUGGUUAAGAAUGUGACUUUGGAGCCAGCCUGCUAGGGGCUGAAUUCUGACUCAGCCAUUUACUAACUGUGUGACCUUAGGGAGGAGGACCUGGUUGAUAGAAGAAUUUAUCUCGUAGUCUUAACAUCCACUGUAAUUCCAAACUUUGAGGACGAUAGAGAUCAGUGGGCUUUGACUGCCCAGCAUGCAGUCUCCAUUCUUAGGUGGGUUCCCAAGCCUGUAAAAUGUAAGCCUUAUGCUGCUGAGGGCCAUCUUGCCACCCUGAGGGAAACGCUGCCUGAGAAUGAAACAAGCAUAAGUAAAAGCUGAGCUGUGAGAUGGAGCAAGAUGAAGGCCACAUGACAUCUUUGGAGCACCUGGAUCUAACUGUGCCUUAAGCUAGUCUAACCCUGAACAUUUCAUCAUUUCAUUGACAUGAGCCCAGGUUUUCUUUUUUUUUGGAUGGAGUCUUGCUCUGUCGCCCAGGCUGGAGUGCAGUAGCUCAAUCUCGGCUCACUGCAAGCUCCACCUCCCGGGUUCACGCCAUUCUCCUGCCUUAGCCUCCCAAGUAGCUGGGACAACAGGCGCCCACCACCACUCCCAGCUAAUUUUUUGUAUUUUUAGUAGAGACGGGGUUUUACCAUGUUAGCCGGGAUGGUCUUGAUCUCCUGACCUCAUGAUCCGCCCGCCUCGGCCUCCCAAAGUGCUGGGAUUACAGGUGUGAGCCACUGCACCCAGCCCUCAGGUUUUCCCUUUUUUUACCCCUCCUUUUGAAAAUUUGAUGUGGAAUUUUGCCACCUGCAGCCAGAAGAGUUUUAACUAAUCAGUGCCAUAAAUUUUAUAUAGUUCUCCUUGCAAAAUGUGGAUCAGCCUUUCUCAGCAAAUCCUUUGUCAUAAAGUGCUGAAUUGUAAGUUUGUCAUGAGAAUCACAUGAGAUCAUGCAUGUGAAGAACCUGGCAUUAUCCUCCUCAUAGAAAAAAACCAGUAAAUAUUAACUACAGGAAGCAAGGAAGGAGUGGGGUGAGGGGAAGAAGAAGGGGUACUGAUUUAAAAGAACCCUGGAGUCCUAAGGAUAAUCUAGGAACCCUCAGACCCAAUCCGAUACCCCUAUUCUAAAUGCUCCUAGUGCCCUGUACCUUCCCCUCAUAAGCCUUCAUUAUCAUUGUAAUGAUAUGUUUAUGUAAUAUUUUGAUUAAUGUCUCUCCUUCACUGACCUAGCAGUUCUAGCAGGGCAGUGAUUUUGCUGUGUUGCAUCCCCAGCACCUAGUCUGGUAUGUGGCAUUCAGCAUAUGUUUAUUGAAUGAAUGGCCAUGUGGUUAUUCAGAUCCUCCUUGAUUAUUGGGGUUAGGAUUGUGGCAGAAGUGGCAAAAUCAGGGAGAGUAGUCCCUGUCCCCUCUGUAUCUUAUACACUGCCCACACUCCCAACACACAUACACAUACAGAGAAUUUUGUCUCAAUUAGAUAAUUAACUUCUGCUUGGUUGUAAACCAAACCACUGGUUCUUAAACUUUCAUUGGAUCAUUUUAUUGAAGAAUUAAAUAGUGUGGUUCUGGCCUAAUGUCUGGAAAGCCUUGCAGAGGAGUGGAUUAGGUCUUUGUGAUAAACAGGCAGCCUUCCCUGCUCCUGUGUCUUUAUAAAAUCUAUUUAACUGGAGUAGUCCACCCUCCCUCAGGCUCUUACAGGAAUAUGUUGGAGGCUGUAGGAAGGUGGGAAACCGAGAGGGAAAGGACUGGGCCGCUGGAGACUUCACUCAUUCCCUAGCAAGAAACAAAAGCAGUAAAAGGUGGCCCGAGGACAACCUGAAGCUCACUCCUUCAGCACUUUUGGCUGGAGGUCACUUGUUGGAGCCCCACUCAGAGCUCAGCACACCACCCCACCAGCAGCCUCCUCCUCCCAGCUGAGGCUGCAUUUCAUCCCUUCCCCCAGCCUGCUUUCCCUGAGAUAGGGGAGUGUUUCCCAGGGCCCAUGUGACUUCCACUGGCAAGUGACGAUUACCAAUGGUUUACUAGUCAGUGAAACUACCAAAGGCUUUUGUGCUGUAGUAAUCCUUUUCCUGUUUAAAACUCUGGGGAUUUUCUAAUGUUGCCAAUAGUUUUUCAAGUCAGCAAUUACUGUGUGGAUUAUGUAAUGGCUCGGUAUUAAAAAUAGAAAAGAC